GGGUCCUCGUGCCCCGGGCCGCCUGGGUCGGUCUUGGCGUGCUGGGGGUGUCGGUAGCUGCUCCCUCUUGUUCUCUGGGUCCGCAUGGUUCAUGGUGGCCCCGGUGGCUCUCUGGGGGUGCCGCCCUGUAGCUCCUGCGUCCCGGGGCGAAGGGGUGCCCUGUUGGCUUGGCCCUGCCUUGCUGUGAUAGCUGUUCUGGGCUUCGGGGUCCUUCACACUUGCAUGUUUGAUCAGGUCUCGCCAGCUCCUGUCGAGUCCCAUUGACAGCGAAUGAUGGGACCCGCCAGAAUGUGCUGAGACUCUUCAGAGUCUCUAUACUAAACUCAUUCUCUUUUUCACUACUAUCCUCUUUCGGCCUAUUCUAUUCUAUACUGUCAAGACAUCCACAAUUAUGGUGUUCAAUACCGUUUAUUUAUUUAUUUAUUGAAUCUCUUUUUUUGUUGUUGUUGCUGGUUUUAUUGAUGGGCAGUUAGUAGUUGGGAAUAACACACCACCUCACACUCUUUAAUUGUAAUAGCACCACCUGUUAGUUUCUAUCCCUGUUCGUCCUGUUUCGUCCUGUCUAGUCUUUGUUUCCCCUGCACAACACUGAGGUGUAGUACUGCCCUCCCUGGCUCAUAAUAGGGAAUUCUAAUAAAGAAUGUCUGCUUAGCUUUCAGGGAGGGCUGGUGACAGUCACACACAUGCACUAAAUAUUAAAAUAUUUGGCUGCAAGACUAAAAUAUGCAUCAAUCUCAUAUAAUGUUGACACCCCCUUUGUGGAGUUAAACAAUGAGAAUAAAUGCAGACAAAAAAAGAAAAAAAGACUAGAUUUGCAUUAGCCCUGCCCACCGACUUUGACAGGCAAGGUGGACAGAUAAAAUAAAUUCAUGAUCCACUGCAACACAAGGACUAUGGAAAUAAUUAGUGAAAUAAUAAUAUAUGUUUUUUACCUAAAAUGAAUUGGUAUUUUGAUGAAUUAAUGACACAUUUAAUAACACAUUUAUGUAUUUAAUUCCAAUUUUAAUUAAUUAAUUACAUAUUUUAUUAAUUAUUUAAUGAUGUAUUUAUUCAUUUAUUUAUUUAAUUUUGGCACUUUUAGUCCUCCAUAAGUUUCCACCCUCAGCAGGACAAUGCACCCCGACACAUCACAAAAACUGUUCAGGAGUGGCCCGGGGAACACGACAGAGCUAAGGUGUUCACCCGGGUUCCACUCUCCCCAGAUCCAAAUCUUAUUGAGCAUCUGUGUGAUGUACCAGGAUAAACCUGAUCCAGGUAGGUCCCACUCUGCAACCCACAGGACCCAUAGAAUUCACUGCCACCAUCCCGGUGCCACAAGACAUCCCCAGAGACCCUGUGUCCAUGCCCCACUGAGUCAGAGGAGUUUUAGCAAAAUAACGGGGACCAACACAAUAUUAGGCACGUGGUCAUAACGUUAUACCUCAUCGGUGAACAUUUGCAAGGCUGCCAGUAGGGGUCGUUGUUGCAUUAUUCACAUUUACACUCUCAAACACUGCACAUCUUUGCACAUAAAAGGUUUUAUGAAGUACAGAUUACAUUUGCAUCUCAUUUGGCCCCUCAAAUCAGAAUUUGCAAUGUAAUGAUCUUGCACUUAGGCAAGAUCAUUACAUUGCAAAUCAACAGAGAACAUGUGAAUAAAUGUGAAGUCAACUGAAAGAAGGUUCAUGACAAGAGUGACUUCUAGGCUUUAUUCAGGCAGGUGAUCAGAAUAUAUGUGACAGAGAACUUCUACACUGGAGAAUUCCAUCAUCUCCAUGGUGCACCACAGUAACAUACAUGUGGCAUUUUUUCAUGCACCCAGGGAGCUUAUAUAAAGGCUGAAACAUUCUGAAAUGUCAGAAAACAACUUUUUCACCUGCUCUUGGACUCAGAUCGACCUGUUCGAAGAUCAGCUACGGAAGGAAAAAACUUGAAGACAAAACUUUGGGAAAGCAAAGACCUGAAGAGGAAACGUUUGGAGAACGAAGACCUGAGUAGGAAACUUUGGAGAACAAAGAUCUGAAGAGGAAGCUUUGGAGAAGGAAGACCUGAAGAGGAAACUUUGGAGAACAAAGACCUGAAGAGGAAACCUUCGGCCAAGGAACACCUGAAGAAGAAGACAUUUGUAAACCGACUCUUGUUGGAUCCUUGAAUCAAGGCUACUUGAAGACCUGGAAAUGGACUUCAGACUCGUGGACAUCGAGGGACCUGUGGGAGCUGUCCCGGAGGUGCACCGUGACGCUGCUGGUAAGAUUAUUGUUAUUAUUAGAUGCUUAAUAAAGUAGCUUUUUAUGAAUAGAAUUAGGUUGUUUGUCCCUCUGAAAUCUUUAAUACGAUGUCAGUGUAGAAAUCAGUGUGAGAGAUUGAGUGAUUAACAGUUAUUGAAUGAUUUUUUUUCCAUGUAAAAUGAUUAUUUAAUGGUAAAAAUGUAUUCAUUUUUUUCCGGAGAGGGUUAAUCUAAUUUAUUAAUCGUUGGUGUCAUGAUUCAGAAACUCUGUUAUAUUGGUUUAAGAGCAUCACAGCUGCUAAAACUUCACAUGAAUAUUUUGUAAAAGAAAAAAAAAAACAUGUCAACUUGGCCAAAAUACGAUAAAAUGCCAAAAUGUGUUUUUGCGGUGACCAUGGAGAUGAUGGAGUGUUCAGAACGCAGCAGGAGUCUCCACUGUGGGACUCUGAGUCGCUUUAAAUCAACUCAUUUUCACAUGUAGCUCAACCUGAACUAUGUGUCUGUUUAAAUACCUUAAAAGUGAACUGUAUAAACUAUGUUUAUUCAUCACAUGGUUUGCAUUUGUUGACAAAAAAAACAAAGAUUAUCUUACGCAUUUAUAAGAGACUGCUGAUGCGCCACAGUCUCCAUUCAGUGACCGUGAUUUAUACUUAUACCUGUGGAGAAUAAGUUGUUCUAAUGUGCUAGUUUUGUACUUUUUUGUGCUGUUUUAUUUGUAAUGGAUCUCUGUUGCUGGUUGGUUUAUUUGGCCAAUCAGAAUUCAAAUACAAGUAGAAAGAGUCGUGCGUAAAUGCGCGAAGAGGAGCCAUAAGUGGAUCUCAGGACUUGUAGUUUGCUGUUGUAGUUUCGAGGUUGGUUGAAAACUGUCAGCACGAGAGUUAAGAAAUGACAAAGUGAAUUACUUUGGUUUCUACUGCUGACGUGACUAAUUAUCUGAUGUACACAGACUAAUAAGGAUGCAGUUAUCAUGCUGAGUGAGGACUCUUAAAAACAUUCCAGCAGAACAGACGUUGCUGUUUUUGAGGAGAAAAAUUCACUCACAGGAAAACAUUCAGUUUAUUUCGGAUUUCAUGAAUGUGUGAUAAUGAACUGAACCAGCUGCAGUGAUAAUAAUUAGUAACACAAUGUGACUUCAUUGUUGCCUGUUGCCAUGUUUUGGUUGUAACAGUAGUGAUUAGAGAGGCAAAGUACUGCCUUGUGUUGUGUUGUGUUAUUCUGUGACAUGUUCUGUGUUGUGUUGUAUUGUAUUGUAUCAUCGUGCUAUAGUGUGGUUUGUUGUGCAGUGUUGUGUUGUGUUCUGUGUUUUGUUUUGCUCUAUUGCACUGUACUAUGUUGUGCUAUCUGUCCUGUGUUAUUCAGAAUUGUGUUGUACUGCAUAGUCGUAUUGUACUAUGUUGUUUUGUAGUGUGUUGUGCUGUCCUGCUUUGUGUUGUACUGUGUUGGGUUGCGUUGCAUUGUGCUGUGUUGUAUUAUACUGCUUUCAGUUGUAUAUCAUUGUCUUGGGGAGUUUGUUGUGUUGCCCCAUGUUGUACUUUGUUGUUUUGUUGUAUGUUGUGUAGUAUUUUGUUGUUUUGUGUUGCACUGCAUUGUGGUGAGUUGUGUUGUACUUUAUUCUGCUGUGUUGUCUUGUACUGGGGUGUGUUGUGUUUACUUUGUUGUGUUGAAGUGUGUGUUUACCAUCCCCAUAACUGAUUUAAUGAGCGAUUUCCAGUUCCGCUGUAGUGGUUGUGUGAAUUUAGACUUGCAUUGUUUAAUCUCUGAGACAAACAAAUGUAGCUGAGUUUGUGGUGCUGUACUAUUAUGUUGUGCUGUGCUGUGUUUUGUUGCGCUGUUUUGUGUUGUGUUUUUCUGUUGUAAAGGGCUAUGUUGUUCUGUAUAGUGCUGUGUUGUGUUGCAUCCAUGAAACUUGGACAUCAGAGUUUCAGUGAAUGAACUUGGCCUGUCAGAUGUGUGAUGACCAAUGAGAGUCACUGCUCGUAUGUCAUCCUUGUAUCAUGUGACUGUGACCUCAGCAGACAGAGUUUUUAAUCUGCUCUGGUUUUAAACGUCAUCACUGGCUGCAGUAGUUUCUCUGUGACAGAGUUUGGAGCAAACGACUCACAUUUUCCACUUAAGUUUGUCACCACAGAAACUGAACUGUCAAAGCAACUUCACAGAUCUGGAGUCAACAUGAAGAUAAGAAAGCCUCAGUGUUCCUACUUUAUCUCUUGUUAGUGCUGGAAAUAGUUUCUGUACAUCAUACAUGCAUUUGUAAUGAAUAAAUCACUGUGGGUACUGUGAACAUACUCAUCAUUUGAAUUGUCAAAACUUAUCAAUGACCAAAGUAGAGUAAAUAAUUGUUUUUCAUAAAGUCUCACUUGAAAGAACAGACUGCAGAAUCAAUGAGAAUGUGUUUGUGGCUUUGACAAGUUGCUGGAUGGUCAUAAUGAAGCGUUUGUAACUUCAGCUGUGACUGUGAUUUGGUCCUGAUAUCUAACCAUGUUAGAAGUACUAACAUGACUUUAUUUCUUCUCAGGGUUUGUGGACUACGUCGUGGAGUGUCCCGCCGACGGCCUCCCGGAGCUCAUCUGGAUCAUUGAAGAUGACGACCGCGUCGUGUUCUUCAAUGAUUCGGAUGAGACUUGGAAGAGGACCUGGCCGACUGGAGCACCAGCGAAGACUCCGGCUACAGCAGCCUGGACGAGGAUGAAGAAGACCUGGAGGACGGUGAAGAAGAGGACAUCCGACCUCGCUCCCCCCUGGUCCAGCGGCUCCCCCCUCCUGCUGGUGCUCCAGUCAUUGCAAGGCCCUUGCUCUCCACAUCAUCUCCUUCCCAAAGAGGCCCCGGGAGGAGAGCGAUGUGGAGGCACAGGUAGGUACGAAGAGGCAGCGGACCAGUGAAGAGGACAACCAGCAGCCAGGACCAUCUACAUCCGGUGCCACAAACCACAGCACGUCUGGUCCCUCCAUGUCAGGUCUGAGCUUCUCUGCGACCAGCGGAAACUUGUUCAGGCCUUUUUGGAGUCCUGAUGAUAGUGACUCCGAUUAGUCCUGAAACUGGUGGAAGUUCUGAGCAGAGAAGUUCCAGCUGACCGGCAGCUCCCACUUCUUACUGCAGGGAUUGAAGACAUCAAGAUCCCUGCAACUAAUAGUAAAAACCCUCCUUCACAUGUCUUAGCGUCAUCAGAUAAUGUGGGAGGAACAGUAGGUAUGAGCACCUGACAAAUACAGGUGUGUUUGUUCUUUUUUAUCAGAGGUAAGUAUCAUUACAAUUGCACAUAUUUUCAUUUUCAAGUAUUAUCCAUGUUACUAACACUAUUUCUUUAAGGUCACUGCUUUCAUCAAAUUAAGGUAAAUUAUUACUUCAAAUGAAUCACUUAAGGAUUUAAUAUCUGUUCUUGAUCAUUUAUAAUUGAAGCAUUUUACUGACAUUUGCACUUUGUUUUUUUUCAUCAUCCAUCAUCCAGGAGAACUCUGAACAGAAAUUUGGUCCUCAAAGUGUUUGUUUGAAGGGUCUGAAUACUUUCCAAAGUGAUUCCAUAAUUGUGUUGUUCAUGUUUGUCACUGUUUGAUGACACAGUUCAGGAUCCCCCACCCUAUGAGGAUCAUACAACUUUGAGAAAACAGUUAAAAGACAUGACUUUGGAAGACCCCCCAGCAACUAAUACACGUAAAGCAAAGACAAAAGGUUUAGAUCUGUCUACACACCAUGCAGAAACCUAUCCAAUGAUAAUUGUCCCAAAUCCAUUAGCUGGACAGGGAGGAAAUGGCCCUACAAUGGAGGUUUAUAGAUCAAUGUAUAUAGGAGAUUUUGAAGCGCUUAGCGCAGCUCUCCCUGAUCCAAGAAAAGAUAUUGAGGGCUGGAUUACUGAGAUGGAGGGCCUGCGUGCCUCCACCACAUUGACUCCCACAGAGAUUCUUAGAAUCUGCCGCCGUGCUUUCGGUGGAGAAUUUCAUCGUGUGCAGGGAACACUGACUGACAGACAAGAUGACGGGACUGUAAUACCAGCAGAAACAGUGGACUUCAGAGCACAGUGGGCUGCCUUCCUCACACAUUGUAGGCAGACCUUUACCCCUAGUCAGGAUUGGGGAACUAUCACUGACUGUAAAAUGAAGUCAGAUGAAUCGUGUGAAGAUUGGUUACAUAGAUUCAACCAGUCUUUAACGCACAACAGCAGGCGAGCUAGAGAUAAUCCUGCUAGACUACAGCUGUACAAAAAUGCCAUAAUGAACACAGUACACCCCAAGGUAAAACAGAUCAUUGAGACCACAUGCAUUGACCUUCCCACAUGUGACGAGGAAAGUUUCUGUAACCACUUGCGUCAUGCAAUCCGUGUUCAUGGUCAACAGCAGAAGGCAAAGGAAGAAAAGAUUAAACAACAGCCUGUUCAAGUUUUCUUAGGCUCAGAGGAAAUCUUUUACUGUGGUCCAGAGCGGAGAGGACCCUACCACAGGAACAGAGGUAGAGGAAGAGGUAGGGGUGGAUCAUAUAGAUGGAGUCAGGCAGGUGACAACUACAGGCAACAGAAUGUGAGACAGGAAGAGGUGUGUUAUGUGUGUAGGCAGCCAGGACAUUUUGCUAGAGACUGCCCACAAACAAGAGGGUGACAGAGAUAUGGAGAAGACCAUGAGCCACGAACCCAUCGUGGGCACGGUGGUUGUAAUUACAGCCCAAACCGUCAAACACCCGCAUGACCAGCCGACGGUGACAUAUCUCCAACUGAUCAGGAAAAGAGGACCAGCCAAGACCACAACUAAAACCUGGGGACUGGAUUUUUGUUAAGAAUAUCCAGAGACGUGUGUGGAGGGAGAAACGCUGGCUUGGACCAUACCAGGUAAUCAUAUCUACUCCCACGGCAGUAAAGAUU
This is an RNA transcript of Amphiprion ocellaris (clown anemonefish), 7053 nucleotides long. RefSeq lists it as uncharacterized. The record is from RefSeq and is a predicted model, not a curated record. NCBI's taxonomy places the organism in Eukaryota, Metazoa, Chordata, Actinopteri, Pomacentridae. The transcript has 2 exons.